AUAACCGACAGAGUGUUCCAUAUAUAUAUAUACAUACAAUACAGAGAAGAUUAGCAUGGCCCUUGCACAGGGAUGACACACAAAUUCAUGAAGCACUCCAUAUUUUU
Molecule: small nuclear RNA, 107 nt
Organism: Octopus sinensis (East Asian common octopus)
Lineage: Eukaryota; Metazoa; Mollusca; Cephalopoda; Octopoda; Octopodidae
Source: RefSeq, a predicted model, not a curated record